GAUGGAAGAACGUAGCGAAAUGCGAUAAGUAAUGUGAAUUGCAGAAUUCAGUGAAUCAUCGAAUCUUUGAACGCACAUUGCGCCCCUUGGUAUUCCGAGGGGCAUGCCUGUUCGAGCGUCAUAUUAACCACUCCCGCUUGCGGGGUCUUGGGCUUCGCCUCCGGGCGGGCCUUAAAAUCAGUGGCGGUGCCGUCGGGCUCUACGCGUAGUAAAUUUUCUCGCGAUAGGGUCCCGGUGGAUGCUUGCCAACAACCCCCAACUUCUUAAGGUUGACCUCGGAUCAGGUAGGGAUACCCGCUGAACUUAAGCAUAUCAAUAAGCGGAGGA
Molecule: unclassified non-coding RNA, 327 nt
Filed under: soil metagenome
Description: partial contains 5.8S ribosomal RNA, internal transcribed spacer 2, and large subunit ribosomal RNA
Rfam family: 5.8S ribosomal RNA (bases 5-121)
Source: RNAcentral